Molecule: transfer RNA, 84 nt
Filed under: Neorautanenia mitis
Lineage: Eukaryota; Viridiplantae; Streptophyta; Magnoliopsida; Fabales; Fabaceae
Description: tRNA-Tyr
Source: RNAcentral
AUCUCUAUCCUUCUUACCCAAUUUCCAGAUUGAUUAUCGUUUUUUUUAUUUCCCGGCUUAUUAGUAUUAGAUAUAAAUAUACCU